RNAcentral lists this ribosomal RNA (457 nucleotides) under uncultured Bdellovibrio sp. RNAcentral's name for it is "bacterial SSU rRNA". It matches the Rfam family "Bacterial small subunit ribosomal RNA", at positions 29 to 505 of the family's 1533-position model. The record is from RNAcentral. Lineage: Bacteria; Pseudomonadati; Bdellovibrionota; Bdellovibrionia; Bdellovibrionales; Pseudobdellovibrionaceae.
AACGAACGCUUGCGGCGUGCCUAAUACAUGCAAGUCGAACGAGAAAGCCCUUCGGGGUGAGUACAGUGGCGCACGGGUGAGUAACACGUGGAUAAUCUGCCUUUGAGUGGGGAACAACCUUCCGAAAGGAUGGCUAAUACCGCAUAAGACCACAGUUUCUGCGGAAACAGGGGUUAAAGAUUUAUUGCUCAAAGAUGAGUCCGCGUCCGAUUAGCUAGUUGGUGGGGUAAUGGCCUACCAAGGCAUUGAUCGGUAGCUGGUCUGAGAGGAUGACCAGUCACACUGGAACUGAGACACGGUCCAGACUCCUACGGGAGGCAGCAGUAGGGAAUAUUGCGCAAUGGGGGCAACCCUGACGCAGCAACGCCGCGUGAGUGAUGAAGGCUUUAGGGUCGUAAAGCUCUGUCGUGGGGGAAGAUAAUGACGGUACCCCACAAGAAAGGACCGGCUAACUUCG